This 497-nucleotide ribosomal RNA is filed under the name uncultured bacterium. RNAcentral's name for it is "partial 16S ribosomal RNA". It matches the Rfam family "Bacterial small subunit ribosomal RNA", at positions 28 to 507 of the family's 1533-position model. The record is from RNAcentral.
GAUGAACGCUGGCGGCGUGCCUAAUACAUGCAAGUCGAGCGAACAGACGAGGAGCUUGCUCCUCUGACGUUAGCGGCGGACGGGUGAGUAACACGUGGAUAACCUACCUAUAAGACUGGGAUAACUUCGGGAAACCGGAGCUAAUACCGGAUAAUAUAUUGAACCGCAUGGUUCAAUAGUGAAAGACGGUUUUGCUGUCACUUAUAGAUGGAUCCGCGCCGCAUUAGCUAGUUGGUAAGGUAACGGCUUACCAAGGCGACGAUGCGUAGCCGACCUGAGAGGGUGAUCGGCCACACUGGAACUGAGAAACGGUCCAGACUCCUACGGGAGGCAGCAGUAGGGAAUCUUCCGCGAUGGGCGAAAGCCUGACGGAGCAACGCCGAGUGAGUGAUGAAGGUCUUCGGAUCGUAAAACUCUGUUAUUAGGGAAGAACAAAUGUGUAAGUAACUAUGCACGUCUUGACGGUACCUAAUCAGAAAGCCACGGCUAACUACGUG